AGUGAACGCUGGCGGUAGGCCUAACACAUGCAAGUCGAACGGCAGCACAGUAAGAGCUUGCUCUUACGGGUGGCGAGUGGCGGACGGGUGAGGAAUACAUCGGAAUCUACUUUUUCGUGGGGGAUAACGUCGGGAAACUUACGCUAAUACCGCAUACGACCUACGGGUGAAAGCAGGGGAUCUUCGGACCUUGCGCGAUUGAAUGAGCCGAUGUCGGAUUAGCUAGUUGGCGGGGUAAAGGCCCACCAAGGCGACGAUCCGUAGCUGGUCUGAGAGGAUGAUCAGCCACACUGGAACUGAGACACGGUCCAGACUCCUACGGGAGGAAGCAGUGGGGAAUAUUGGACAAUGGGCGCAAGCCUGAUCCAGCAAUACCGCGUGGGUGAAGAAGGCCUUCGGGUUGUAAAGCCCUUUUGUUGGGAAAGAAAAGCAGCAGGUUAAUACCCCGCUGUUCUGACGGUACCCAAAGAAUAAGCACCGGCUAACUUCGUG
RNAcentral lists this ribosomal RNA (492 nucleotides) under uncultured bacterium. RNAcentral's name for it is "partial 16S ribosomal RNA". It matches the Rfam family "Bacterial small subunit ribosomal RNA", at positions 29 to 507 of the family's 1533-position model. The record is from RNAcentral.